This 444-nucleotide ribosomal RNA is filed under the name Pseudomonas marincola. RNAcentral describes it as "bacterial SSU rRNA". It matches the Rfam family "Bacterial small subunit ribosomal RNA", at positions 71 to 508 of the family's 1533-position model. The record is from RNAcentral. Lineage: Bacteria; Pseudomonadati; Pseudomonadota; Gammaproteobacteria; Pseudomonadales; Pseudomonadaceae.
GGAGGUAGCUUGCUACUUUGCUGACGAGCGGCGGACGGGUGAGUAAUGCCUAGGAAUCUGCCUAGUAGUGGGGGAUAACGUUCGGAAACGGACGCUAAUACCGCAUACGUCCUACGGGAGAAAGUGGGGGAUCUUCGGACCUCACGCUAUUAGAUGAGCCUAGGUCGGAUUAGCUAGUUGGUGAGGUAAUGGCUCACCAAGGCGACGAUCCGUAACUGGUCUGAGAGGAUGAUCAGUCACACUGGAACUGAGACACGGUCCAGACUCCUACGGGAGGCAGCAGUGGGGAAUAUUGGACAAUGGGCGAAAGCCUGAUCCAGCCAUGCCGCGUGUGUGAAGAAGGUCUUCGGAUUGUAAAGCACUUUAAGUUGGGAGGAAGGGCAGUAAAUUAAUACUUUGCUGUUUUGACGUUACCGACAGAAUAAGCACCGGCUAACUCUGUGC